GCUGCAGCGCGACUGUCUGGCUGUCUGCGUGAACGUGUUGAUGACGUUCUGAGGCGAGGAGAACAUCAGAAUGGGAACCUUAAACUAUACCUCCUAACUGGAAAACUGCCAAUUUCUGUCCUGGCCGAGAUGUUUCUGUUUCAUUCACCCCUGCGGGAUAGAGUUAAUGAAGAUAUUUUCCACAGGACGUGCCAGGACUAACUACUGGUAAAACUGCAUGUCAAAGAGAGGAACACAGUUGCAUCAUUAGCUGAACGGGUUUUCUUGCUGUCCAAUCACCAUUGCAGACGAGAAUGGAGAAAACAAAUAAAUCACGUGGGGUGAAGGACCUUGACUUCUGGGUGAUCGGGGGCCACUCCGAACCUGACCAGACCGAAGGGGACAGGCAGCCGCU
Long non-coding RNA from Pungitius pungitius (ninespine stickleback), 394 nucleotides. RefSeq lists it as uncharacterized. NCBI's taxonomy places the organism in Eukaryota, Metazoa, Chordata, Actinopteri, Perciformes, Gasterosteidae. The transcript is spliced from 4 exons. The record is from RefSeq and is a predicted model, not a curated record.